Long non-coding RNA from Rattus norvegicus (Norway rat), 611 nucleotides. Ensembl lists it as uncharacterized. Lineage: Eukaryota; Metazoa; Chordata; Mammalia; Rodentia; Muridae. The record is from Ensembl.
UACCCUCACUGUGGGAUGACCAGAGGUAAACUCUGCAAGUGUGCUGGUGUGCAUAGCACCCUCCAGCGUGAUGAAAUCGAGCCAGUAGAGCUGAACUUCAGACCAGCACCAGCUUGAUUGAUUUGUGUAUGUUGGGCAGGCUUUUGUGCCACCUGUUUUUGUUUUUGUAUUUAUUCUAUGUGCAGCAAGAAGCCAAAGGGAAGAAAAGGAGCAUAGAGUAUUUCUUCCCUUUAUUCUUUCCUUGGAGUUUUCCAGCUUCUCUCCAUCACCAAAGGAGGCUGCUCUUCUCAGGGCGAUCACUCUCCAUGAGUCUUCCUCCUGGCUGCCCUCUUCUUCUUGUCUUAACAUGCAGCUGGGAUCCUCUCUUGUUCCCUGACAAUUAUGACUACUCUGAAACUGUGAAGCAGGAUCCAUAAAUGUGAAAACUCUGAAUAGCUGUAAACAGUUCCCAAGCUGGAACUGCUUGGGUCGGAAUUAAUAAACGACAAGGUUGGAGGAGGCCGAUGUGUUCCGAUUUGUUAUCUUUUUGUUGCCUCUGUGUAUAUGACUAAGGAAUCCAUCGAAGUUCUCAGUCCAGACAUCUAAUGAGCGUGUUUUAAUAACUCUUCUCC